This 91-nucleotide transfer RNA is filed under the name Alphaproteobacteria bacterium SO-S41. RNAcentral describes it as "tRNA-Ser". It matches the Rfam family "tRNA". From Rfam's summary of the family: Transfer RNA (tRNA) molecules are approximately 80 nucleotides in length. Their secondary structure includes four short double-helical elements and three loops (D, anti-codon, and T loops). Lineage: Bacteria; Pseudomonadati; Pseudomonadota; Alphaproteobacteria. RNAcentral also lists the same sequence under 1 other name. The record is from RNAcentral.
GGACAGGUGGCCGAGCGGUUGAAGGCGCACGCCUGGAAAGUGUGUAGACGUUAAUAGCGUCUCGCGGGUUCGAAUCCCGCCCUGUCCGCCA